Molecule: ribosomal RNA, 471 nt
Filed under: uncultured bacterium
Lineage: Bacteria
Description: bacterial SSU rRNA
Rfam family: Bacterial small subunit ribosomal RNA
Source: RNAcentral
GGCUAACGCUGGCGGCGUGUCUUAGCCAUGCAAGUCGAGCGGACUUAUGGGGUAACUUAUAAGUCAGCGGCGGACGGCGGAGUAACACGUAGCUAACCUACCCUCUGGACGGGGAUAACCUACCGAAAGGUGGGCUAAUACCCGAUGUAGUCAUCCUGUAUAGGGGUGAUGAAAGGUGGGCUUCUGUUUACAAGCUCAUGCUGGAGGAGGGGGCUGCGGCCUAUCAGGUAGUUGGUAGGGUAAUAGCCUACCAAGCCGAUGACGGGUAGCCGGCCUGAGAGGGUGACCGGCCCGAGGGGCACUGAGAUACGGGUCCCACUCCUACGGGAGGCAGCAGUGGGGAAUCUUGCGCAAUGGGGGCAACCCUGACGCAGCCAUGCCGCGUGAACGAUGAAGGCCUUAGGGUUGUAAAGUUCUUUUACCCGUGACGAUGAUGACGGUAACGGGGAAUAAGCUCCGGCUAACUUCGUG